Molecule: long non-coding RNA, 1026 nt
Filed under: Macaca mulatta (Rhesus monkey)
Lineage: Eukaryota; Metazoa; Chordata; Mammalia; Primates; Cercopithecidae
Description: lncRNA (ENSMMUG00000052258.1)
Source: RNAcentral
GCAGAAGAGAGGAAGGAAGCAGAACUGUCUGGGCACUGCCCUCCGCCGUUAUAUAAAGGAGCUUCUGAGAAAUGUGGUGGUCUUGUUGGUCAGAGACAGGCGUAGCUGCUGCCUUCAGGAAUAUGGUGUUUUAAGCGAGGCACCUGCGGACUUCAGGUUCUGUUUCAAUUUGUGGAUGAAGCAAGAAAGCUGCUGCCUGACAAGGAUGAGUUGCUUCGUUAAUUAAAUUAGCAGUGGAAACUUUACUGGCUUUAAUGAGUGUAAAAUAAGCCACAGAAAUAAAGAUAGUGAUUAAAGCAUGCUAAUCUGAUUAGAAUCGCAGUGUGCAGAGUUAUAGGCUACUUGAUAUUAGAGAAUCAUCGACUAAGGCCGGGAAGAGCCAGAGUCCUGUUUUAAAGAAGAGGAUGGUUGCCGAUGGCACACAAACUUGGAGCUGCUGCAGGAUUGCCAAAUUGCUUGGGGGGGGAUUAUGUGUGAUAAAUGCCAUGAAAAUCACGGGGCAUUGUUGAAAGAGUCCUGUUCGUAGAAGGAAGGGUUUUCUGAGCAUUCACAGUGAAAGGAGCUGAAUCCAACUUCAGUGCUUUCCCCAGCACAGCAAGAUUUACCAGCCGAGUUUCAGCCUCUCAGAAUUUCAAACAUAUGGAAAAUUGACAGAGUAGAAAGAUUCUAAGAUAUUUGUACUUUCUCUAUCCUGACCCGUACAAUGAAAGCAGUGUUCAUUUAAGACAGUGAGACAGAGAAUAUUCAAGUGUCUGCUGUAGGAGAGAAAUGCUGUCUCAUUAAAUUCAAUGCAGUACAAAUCACAUCUUUAAAUUAUUGCAUAAAUCCUUUCCAAUGCUCAGCUCCUUGGUCUAAGUUAGCAUAGAACUAAUUUUAGCUUCUGAGUGUAGUUAGAUGGAAACUGUCUAUUUUACUUCCACCAGUUCCCAGCCUCUCAUUUCCUGGUUUGUAAAAUUUCCAUUUGCCCCAAAGUCUGAAUGUUAAAACAGGUAGUCUGUCUUUGUCAUUUUCUGUGUCUAUAUACAG